GUUUGUUGGCUGUGCUGUGAGGAGCUGCCCAUAAGAGCUCACUGAGAAGUUACAGGUCUGAGAAGCACAACAGAUGGAUGAAACAAGAAAUCACUUUUUCUCACUGAAUUUCCAAUGCACUCGAUAUACUGGAUUUAUUCCACAGUACAACAGAAAACUGCUCACAGCACCAAUGGCUCAUGUGGACACAGAAGCCUGCAGCUUACAUUCAAGCCUUUCUUUGUCUUCCCUAGCAACCAUUUGAACACCACAAAGAAGAUAUAUGAGCCUCCUGAAUAUGAGGGUUUCACACUCAUAUUGCUGUUGCUAGACCCAGCCAUCAGCAGCAGAAAGAACCACAACAGCUGAACCAGCACUGCCUGUGUCAAGGUCGGGCACUCUGUGUCAGAGUCACUCUGCCAUCACAUGUUACUGCAGCAAUGGCUUCUUCUGUUUAAAAGCAGUUGUCAACUGUCAAGUGGUAUUUAUUUCUUCACUCAGAAAGUAGUACUGUACUAAUAACAGCUUAGAGAUUUUUAGUACAACACAGGAAAAGAAAAAAAAAAAACCAACACCAAAACAAACUCAAAC
Molecule: long non-coding RNA, 570 nt
Organism: Passer domesticus (house sparrow)
Lineage: Eukaryota; Metazoa; Chordata; Aves; Passeriformes; Passeridae
Exons: 4
Source: RefSeq, a predicted model, not a curated record